AGAGUUUGAUCCUGGCUCAGGAUGAACGCUGGCGGUCUGCUUAACACAUGCAAGUCGAACGCAACCUUCGGGUUGAGUGGCGGACGGGUGAGUAACGCGUGAGAAUCUGCCUUAGGGUCGGGGACAACCACUGGAAACGGUGGCUAAUACCGGAUAAGCCGAUUGGUGAAAGAUUUAUUGCCCGAAGAGGAGCUCGCGUCUGAUUAGCUAGUUGGUGAGGUAAGAGCUCACCAAGGCAGCGAUCAGUAGCUGGUCUGAGAGGACGAUCAGCCACACUGGGACUGAGACACGGCCCAGACUCCUACGGGAGGCAGCAGUGGGGAAUUUUCCGCAAUGGGCGAAAGCCUGACGGAGCAAGACCGCGUGAGGGAGGAAGGCUCUUGGGUUGUAAACCUCUUUUCUCAGGGAAGAAGCUCUGACGGUACCUGAGGAAUCAGCCUCGGCUAACUCCGUGCCAGCAGCCGCGGUAAUACGGAGGAGGCAAGCGUUAUCCGGAAUUAUUGGGCGUAAAGCGUCCGCAGGUGGCGAUUCAAGUCUGCUGUCAAAGCACGGGGCUUAACUCCGUUAAGGCAGUGGAAACUGAAUAGCUAGAGUGCCGUAGGGGUAGAGGGAAUUCCCGGUGUAGCGGUGAAAUGCGUAGAGAUCGGGAAGAACAUCGGUGGCGAAAGCGCUCUACUGGAC
RNAcentral lists this ribosomal RNA (681 nucleotides) under uncultured bacterium. RNAcentral's name for it is "bacterial SSU rRNA". It matches the Rfam family "Bacterial small subunit ribosomal RNA", at positions 8 to 734 of the family's 1533-position model. The record is from RNAcentral.